GGAUAUGAGACCCAUCUGACUGUAACAUCUGUCAUCCCAUUUAUCCCCAGGGUUGAUUCAGCUGAUCUAGCUGGCUAGGCAGGUGUCCUGUUACUCUCUCCCUGGUCCAUUCUUGUCCCUUCUUCUUCCAUCCAAGCUUCAUGCUUGGAUAAUUGAAGAUAACGACUUUCCCUGAUAGAGGACAAGUCUCUGCACAGGGUGUAGAGCAGCUGUGCUUCUCUGAUAGAACCUUCGAAUAAUUUCUCAAGAGAUAUCUAUUUCUAGAAGUGUGGGGUAGGAUUUACAGGGAUAUUUAAAAAUUCUAACAGAAAAAAAACCAAACUAUUGAAUUUUUCUUA
This 338-nucleotide small nuclear RNA is filed under the name Microtus ochrogaster (prairie vole). RNAcentral's name for it is "7SK RNA (ENSMOCG00000010399.1)". It matches the Rfam family "7SK RNA". Rfam says of the family: 7SK was discovered as an abundant small nuclear RNA in the mid-70s but a possible function has only recently been suggested. Lineage: Eukaryota; Metazoa; Chordata; Mammalia; Rodentia; Cricetidae. The record is from Rfam by way of RNAcentral.